AGUUACUCCAUGGACCAUAGUUCAGUUAACUAGAUAAAUUUGAGUAAGGGAUUGCAAAACUAAAGUGUAUUAAGAUCCAUUCAUUUGGAUUAGAAGUUGUCACACACAGGUAGAUGGAAUGGUGUACACUUUUCAAACAGAAUGUAAUAAUGCACCUAUAAUUGUAAAUUUAAUUGCACAUAAAAAUCUCCUGCUGUCUCGUGAAGUGUUGUUCAGAAACUGAUAUCUUGUUAUUAAUUACAGGGAGAAGCUGCUGAGUUAGAAGAGAUCCUUGCAAGAUGACAGGUGAAAAGAAGGCGGAGGAAUGAAAAACCUCUGGACAAAAAGUCGGAGUUACACAGCACAACCACCUGGAAGGAGUGUUGUGACAAUGACGACGAAGAUAUUCUGAUUCUGGACGUGGAUGAGGAACUCUUAGAAGAAAUGGAUUCAUUAUUGAGGGAAAUGAAAUUGUGAUUAUAGUUUGAUGCAUUCUGUUUUGAUUAUUUUAAGUUAAUGGAUGUAUAGUUUCUGUUUAA
This is a long non-coding RNA of Cryptotermes secundus, 518 nucleotides long. RefSeq lists it as uncharacterized. The transcript is spliced from 2 exons. NCBI's taxonomy places the organism in Eukaryota, Metazoa, Arthropoda, Insecta, Blattodea, Kalotermitidae. The record is from RefSeq and is a predicted model, not a curated record.